RNAcentral lists this ribosomal RNA (299 nucleotides) under Fibrobacter succinogenes. Its description in RNAcentral is "partial 16S ribosomal RNA". The record is from RNAcentral. Lineage: Bacteria; Pseudomonadati; Fibrobacterota; Fibrobacteria; Fibrobacterales; Fibrobacteraceae.
GGAGUCUGGGCCGUAUCUCAGUCCCAAUGUGGCCGAUCACCCUCUCAGGCCGGCUACCGAUCGUCGCCUUGGUGGGCCGUUGCCCCGCCAACUAGCUAAUCGGACGCAAGCUCAUCCCAUGCCGAUAAAUCUUUCGUCAACUCCCUAUGCAGGGAGCCACUAUAUCCGGUAUUACCCGCGCGUUGGCACGGCUAUUCCCGGGCAUGGGGCAGAUUGCUUACGCGUUACUCACCCGUUCGCCGCUAUGCAUUGCUGCACCGCUCGACUUGCAUGUAUAAGACACGCCACCAGCGUUCGUU